CGUAAGUAAACAGCUGCCGUUUCGAUAAGAAAUGAAGAAACAUUUCAUUAUGUAAUCUCUGUUUGCUGGCUUAAUGUUCUAGGAAUACUUGAAAAUGUGAAAAGCAGCGCAAUUGAUAGUGUUGGUGAUGAAAAGGAGUACUGUGUUUUAGGCUCUGGUAUUGGGUAAGGGGCAAUCAGCAAUUGACGAUGUGUUCCGACAAGUUAAGGAGAAAAAUGACGGUAAAAUAUAUGCAGACUAGUGUCAGUAUAAAAUGAAGGGCAGCAACAGAACGCUGGUUCAGCUGCAUUACGAUAUGGUGAUUGACGAGAGAACAUACAAGGAUGGUUUCAGAAAGGAUGUCAAGCACAAGGGUGUAUCCUGCGAGACACAUAGCGUUGUAAGUCAGACUGCAAAUCGUCGAAGAAGAAUCGCAUCAAAAAGUGAGGAUAACCGCUGGCCCCUCGAAAUACCGUAUCAGACAGACACAGGAUUUGGCAAGUAGUUAUUGAAAGUUAUUAGAUAAUGCAAUGUUUCAUACGUUUGAUUUAAUUUAAACCUAAUUAUGCAUCGAACGUCUAAGUUUUAUUAAAAAGCUCUCGUGUCCGUUUCCUGUGUAGAAGCGAUACUUGAUGUCUUUCAUUGAGAUCUAAACUGGCAGAUAUGCAUUGAACAACAUUCCACGAAAUAAACCUUAUUGUUUAUGUUGUAAUGACACUGAUUUAGAAGACAAGUAUCGUUUCAUAUGUUUAUGCCAAGGUCGCCGUGGUGAACAUUUUGUAUUAACCCAUCUGUGUAUAAAUUCCACAAAUUAUUAGUUUCUUGUCAAAGUUAAGUAAUUUCCAAUGUAUGCAAAUAAAUAAAAAUAAGCUCUAGUUAUACGAAGUACGAUCCUAAAUCAUACUGUUUAUAAGAUCAUUUUUAGUAUAUGUUGUCAUUCUCAUGGUAUUGCACAAGCUAUUCUAGGACGACACUUUACGCGCAUACAUUAAGCCCAGUUUUCCCAGAGCGAGGAUAAUUUAUGCCUAUAACUUCGCCUAUUUUUUCCACCAAGGAGCUGCGAGUCGUUUGUAGGGAGAUUGAAAGGUCCCCAAUACAUCUUCCUGCAUAAGAGAAAUUGUAUGACGUUGCCGAUCAUUUUACACGAGAUUGUGCACGCCAUUGUGGUCUAUACCAUGAGCACAUGAGGGAAGACCGGGACAAUUACCUCACUGUAAAUUAUAAAAACAUUAACCGGGCAUGCUACGACCAAUUUAAUACAUUUGCAGCGGACCAAUAUCUCGAUUUCAACAAGACAUAUGACUAUCACAGCAUAAUGCAUUACGGCAAACGUGUACAUUUUUUCGCCGACCCAAGCAAUGCUAUUUCAAUGGAACCGACUUACAAAUAUUACUCGGAUAUAAUUGGAGAAGCACAACACCUCAGCUUCCAUGAUGUACACACUGUGAACGCCAUGUAUAAAUGCUCAGAAAAGUGUGCUCACGUAGAAUGCCCGAAGGGUGCAUUUGUGGGGAAAACCUGCGAAUGCUUCUGUCAAGGACCUCUAAAAGAUCCUGUCGAACGAUGUAACAACUCAAACGGGAGGGGCUUACCAGUCAAAAACAUAUACAUAAAUUGACAAAAAAUCGCAGUUAACAACCUUAGUUGACAAUUCUUUUGAUUUUCAAAGAUUGUGAGUUACUGAAAUAAAUUUGAAAUCUUCUCCAUUCCCAUCAGUAAAUACAUAACUAUCAAAUUAAUCUGUAAAUAUUAGUAAAUGGCUUCAUUAACAUUUGUUCAUUUGCCAAUUUUUCCCUAUGCAUGUUAACUGUGAGACAGAUGUGUGGUGUUGGCAGCAACAAUUAAGUGUUGAGCAAGUGUAAAUAAUCCAAACUUCACAUACCUAUGAGAAACCCAUUCUACACAU
Dreissena polymorpha is the source of this 1885-nucleotide long non-coding RNA. RefSeq lists it as uncharacterized. The record is from RefSeq and is a predicted model, not a curated record. The transcript is spliced from 7 exons. NCBI's taxonomy places the organism in Eukaryota, Metazoa, Mollusca, Bivalvia, Myida, Dreissenidae.